Long non-coding RNA from Etheostoma spectabile (orangethroat darter), 105 nucleotides. RefSeq lists it as uncharacterized. The record is from RefSeq and is a predicted model, not a curated record. The transcript has 3 exons. NCBI's taxonomy places the organism in Eukaryota, Metazoa, Chordata, Actinopteri, Perciformes, Percidae.
AAAUACACACAGACAUGGUAUAGAAAGCAUGCAGGAAGACUCAGCUCGAUAUGUGCCAGUUCUCGUUAAUAUUUAACGAACUAAGCUGCUUGACUCUGAUUGGCU